AGCAGUCGCCGCGGUAAUACGGAGGGUGCAAGCGUUAAUCGGAAUUACUGGGCGUAAAGCGCACGCAGGCGGUCUGUCAAGUCGGAUGUGAAAUCCCCGGGCUCAACCUGGGAACUGCAUUCGAAACUGGCAGGCUGGAGUCUUGUAGAGGGGGGUAGAAUUCCAGGUGUAGCGGUGAAAUGCGUAGAGAUCUGGAGGAAUACCGGUGGCGAAGGCGGCCCCCUGGACAAAGACUGACGCUCAGGUGCGAAAGCGUGGGGAGCAAACAGGAUUAGAUACCCCAUAGUCCCUGUCUCUUAUACA
RNAcentral lists this ribosomal RNA (303 nucleotides) under uncultured bacterium. RNAcentral describes it as "partial 16S ribosomal RNA". It matches the Rfam family "Bacterial small subunit ribosomal RNA", at positions 507 to 808 of the family's 1533-position model. The record is from RNAcentral.